GACGUGCUAAUCUGCGAUAAGCGUCGGUAAGGUGAUAUGAACCGUUAUAACCGGCGAUUUCCGAAUGGGGAAACCCAGUGUGAUUCGUCACACUAUCAUUAACUGAAUCCAUAGGUUAAUGAGGCGAACCGGGGGAACUGAAACAUCUAAGUACCCCGAGGAAAAGAAAUCAACCGAGAUUCCCCCAGUAGCGGCGAGCGAACGGGGAGCAGCCCAGAGCCUGAAUCAGUGUGUGUGUUAGUGGAAGCGUCUGGAAAGGCGUGCGAUACAGGGUGACAGCCCCGUACACAAAAAUGCACAUACUGUGAGCUCGAUGAGUAGGGCGGGACACGUGGUAUCCUGUCUGAAUAUGGGGGGACCAUCCUCCAAGGCUAAAUACUCCUGACUGACCGAUAGUGAACCAGUACCGUGAGGGAAAGGCGAAAAGAACCCCGGCGAGGGGAGUGAAAAAGAACCUGAAACCGUGUACGUACAAGCAGUGGGAGCACGCUUAGGCGUGUGACUGCGUACCUUUUGUAUAAUGGGUCAGCGACUUAUAUUCUGUAGCAAGGUUAACCGAAUAGGGGAGCCGAAGGGAAACCGAGUCUUAACUGGGCGUUAAGUUGCAGGGUAUAGACCCGAAACCCGGUGAUCUAGCCAUGGGCAGGUUGAAGGUUGGGUAACACUAACUGGAGGACCGAACCGACUAAUGUUGAAAAAUUAGCGGAUGACUUGUGGCUGGGGGUGAAAGGCCAAUCAAACCGGGAGAUAGCUGGUUCUCCCCGAAAGCUAUUUAGGUAGCGCCUCGUGAAUUCAUCUCCGGGGGUAGAGCACUGUUUCGGCAAGGGGGUCAUCCCGACUUACCAACCCGAUGCAAACUGCGAAUACCGGAGAAUGUUAUUACGGGAGACACACGGCGGGUGCUAACGUCCGUCGUGAAGAGGGAAACAACCCAGACCGCCAGCUAAGGUCCCAAAGUCAUGGUUAAGUGGGAAACGAUGUGGGAAGGCCCAGACAGCCAGGAUGUUGGCUUAGAAGCAGCCAUCAUUUAAAGAAAGCGUAAUAGCUCACUGGUCGAGUCGGCCUGCGCGGAAGAUGUAACGGGGCUAAACCAUGCACCGAAGCUGCGGCAGCGACGCUUAUGCGUUGUUGGGUAGGGGAGCGUUCUGUAAGCCUGUGAAGGUGUGCUGUGAGGUAUGCUGGAGGUAUCAGAAGUGCGAAUGCUGACAUAAGUAACGAUAAAGCGGGUGAAAAGCCCGCUCGCCGGAAGACCAAGGGUUCCUGUCCAACGUUAAUCGGGGCAGGGUGAGUCGACCCCUAAGGCGAGGCCGAAAGGCGUAGUCGAUGGGAAACAGGUUAAUAUUCCUGUACUUGGUGUUACUGCGAAGGGGGGACGGAGAAGGCUAUGUUGGCCGGGCGACGGUUGUCCCGGUUUAAGCGUGUAGGCUGGUUUUCCAGGCAAAUCCGGAAAAUCAAGGCCGAGGCGUGAUGACGAGGCACUACGGUGCUGAAGCAACAAAUGCCCUGCUUCCAGGAAAAGCCUCUAAGCAUCAGGUAACAUCAAAUCGUACCCCAAACCGACACAGGUGGUCAGGUAGAGAAUACCAAGGCGCUUGAGAGAACUCGGGUGAAGGAACUAGGCAAAAUGGUGCCGUAACUUCGGGAGAAGGCACGCUGAUACGUAGGUGAAGCGACUUGCUCGUGGAGCUGAAAUCAGUCGAAGAUACCAGCUGGCUGCAACUGUUUAUUAAAAACACAGCACUGUGCAAACACGAAAGUGGACGUAUACGGUGUGACGCCUGCCCGGUGCCGGAAGGUUAAUUGAUGGGGUUAGCGCAAGCGAAGCUCUUGAUCGAAGCCCCGGUAAACGGCGGCCGUAACUAUAACGGUCCUAAGGUAGCGAAAUUCCUUGUCGGGUAAGUUCCGACCUGCACGAAUGGCGUAAUGAUGGCCAGGCUGUCUCCACCCGAGACUCAGUGAAAUUGAACUCGCUGUGAAGAUGCAGUGUACCCGCGGCAAGACGGAAAGACCCCGUGAACCUUUACUAUAGCUUGACACUGAACAUUGAGCCUUGAUGUGUAGGAUAGGUGGGAGGCUUUGAAGUGUGGACGCCAGUCUGCAUGGAGCCGACCUUGAAAUACCACCCUUUAAUGUUUGAUGUUCUAACGUGGACCCGUGAUCCGGGUUGCGGACAGUGUCUGGUGGGUAGUUUGACUGGGGCGGUCUCCUCCUAAAGAGUAACGGAGGAGCACGAAGGUUGGCUAAUCCUGGUCGGACAUCAGGAGGUUAGUGCAAUGGCAUAAGCCAGCUUGACUGCGAGCGUGACGGCGCGAGCAGGUGCGAAAGCAGGUCAUAGUGAUCCGGUGGUUCUGAAUGGAAGGGCCAUCGCUCAACGGAUAAAAGGUACUCCGGGGAUAACAGGCUGAUACCGCCCAAGAGUUCAUAUCGACGGCGGUGUUUGGCACCUCGAUGUCGGCUCAUCACAUCCUGGGGCUGAAGUAGGUCCCAAGGGUAUGGCUGUUCGCCAUUUAAAGUGGUACGCGAGCUGGGUUUAGAACGUCGUGAGACAGUUCGGUCCCUAUCUGCCGUGGGCGCUGGAGAACUGAGGGGGGCUGCUCCUAGUACGAGAGGACCGGAGUGGACGCAUCACUGGUGUUCGGGUUGUCAUGCCAAUGGCACUGCCCGGU
RNAcentral lists this ribosomal RNA (2666 nucleotides) under Shigella flexneri. RNAcentral's name for it is "partial 23S ribosomal RNA". It matches the Rfam family "Bacterial large subunit ribosomal RNA". The record is from RNAcentral. Lineage: Bacteria; Pseudomonadati; Pseudomonadota; Gammaproteobacteria; Enterobacterales; Enterobacteriaceae.